CUACGGGAGGCAGCAGUGAGGAAUAUUGGGCAAUGGGGGAAACCCUGACCCAGCAAUGCCGCGUGCGGGAAGACGCCUUUCGGGGUGUAAACCGCUUUUCUGCAUGAAGAGGAAGGACGGUAGUGCAGGAAUAAGUCUCGGCUAACUACGUGCCAGCAGCCGCGGUAAAACGUAGGAGACGAGCGUUAUCCGGAAUUACUGGGCGUAAAGCGCGUGUAGGCGGAAGUGUAAGUCUUUUGUGAAAGCUCCUGGCUAAACUGGGAGAGGUCGAAAGAUACUGCACAUCUCGAGUAUGGGAGGGGGUGUGGAAUUCCAGGUGUAGUGGUGAAAUGCGUAGAUAUCUGGAGGAGCACCAGUGGCGAAGGCGGCACCCUGGCCCAAGACUGACGCUAAGACGCGAAAGCAUGGGGAGCGAACGGGAUUAGAUACCCGGGUAGUCC
This 440-nucleotide ribosomal RNA is filed under the name uncultured bacterium. RNAcentral's name for it is "bacterial SSU rRNA". It matches the Rfam family "Bacterial small subunit ribosomal RNA", at positions 339 to 796 of the family's 1533-position model. The record is from RNAcentral.